This is a long non-coding RNA of Polypterus senegalus (gray bichir), 1669 nucleotides long. RefSeq lists it as uncharacterized. The transcript is spliced from 3 exons. Lineage: Eukaryota; Metazoa; Chordata; Cladistia; Polypteriformes; Polypteridae. The record is from RefSeq and is a predicted model, not a curated record.
GGCAGACUUUCACCGAAACUGCUUCUACCUGUGAAAUGCACGGCCGUGGCGAGAACAGUUCUUGUAAUCGGUAUUUAUGAGGUACCCAGUUCACAAUUCCCUGGCCACCUCGUUCACCGGAUAGCACUCCCCUAGACUUCUUUCUGUGGGUUUAUGUUAAAGAUAACGUGCAUCGAACAAAGAUAUGAGACAUUAAUGACCCGAGGAAAAAGAUCACUGAUGCCAUUGUCACCAUUGAGGACGCUAUGCUACAGAGAACAUGGCAAGAAAUCGAGCACCGUCUUGAUGUGCUUCGUGCAACUAAUGAUGCCCAUAUACAGGAGAAAGUUGAACAAAAAAGUACUGUGCAUCCCUGCCUCAAGCAGCCCUUUUGAGAUGGCUUUCAGCACCUGAAGAAAUCUUGCUAGAUGCAACUGUGCGGUUCUGAAGCCAGAUGCUGUGGACAGACUGGUGAUUGUCACACAACUUCAAGUUUCUUCAGUUGAAUUUGACCAUUUUUUUCCUCUGAUAUCUCCGUGCAAUAUUGGACAGAACGUGAAGUGAGAAAUUUAUUUUAAAAGCUUAUAGGUUUUUUUUUUUUGUAUCUUUGUGCAAUAUACGAGAAAGUUUACAAAUGCUUUAGUAUUUUGCAAUAUUUGACAGAACUUUGGAUUUUUACACUGAUACAUUGUCAGAUUUUUUCCUUGCUUGUAGGCUGCACAAUUCACCUUCUAUCAGAUCAGUUUAUGUUUAUCCACAAUGUAAUGUUCAUGCCCCAUAUUUCAAUUAUGAUUAGUAGUUGAUCCCCUUUGAACUCAUAUUUUGUUUACAUUAAAGUGUCCGUUUAAAAUGCCCUCAAGUUUUAUUGAUCUUAGUGUAAUUCUUUGUGCAUCUCCUGUAGGGCACUUUGAAAUGGUUUACUCAUACGUGCACUGUUUCAUCUCAAUACUUUUGACUGGUGAUUUUAAAUGUUUUGUAUUAUUUUACUUCAGUUUUAAGUUAAGACUGACUUUAUAUAACUGUUUCCAUUAACCUCAUUAGUAAGCUAAAAUUAAUGUCCUAUUAAGACCAAGUUCAGUAAGACUUAUGAACAUUUUUAAAGGAUGCAAAAUAUCUAGUUAUUGUUAAAGUCCCAGAAAAUAGAUAUUGUUUUGCCAAUAUUACACACCUCUGGUUACACCUUACCAUUCUGGGGUGUGGUCAGAAUUUCUGGGACACAAUAGUUCCAAUUAACAAACCAUUCUCCACUUGCUUUGAGCUGUUAACUGUCUACUAGUAGAUACAGUGAAGAACUUGUGUUUCUUCUAGGUGUAGACAGACGAAAAAGUAGAGAAACUUUAGAAUACGCAGAAGGGAAAUACUCUGGUUAAAGAAAAGGCAUUUCAUCGACGGUUAUUUCCUUACUUUGCACUGGAUUUUGUCAGGACAUACUAUAUUUUUUUUUAAACAUUAAAUAUAUAAAACUAAUGCAUUAUUCAACCACAUACCUUCUCCAAUGUCAGAACCAGUUAUCAGACAUGUCACACCAUUUUUGGAAACUUGGUUUCCUUGAGUGUGUUAAUUUCACAUGUGAAUGAUAUCAACCUAGGAAGUUACCAGUUUGCCCUAGAAUGUGUGAAAGGAUGUCUUGCACAACCACUACAAAUUUUUUUUUUUUAAAAAAACCCAAAAAAUUGUCAUACAGAAAUAU